Amaranthus tricolor (Joseph's coat) is the source of this 1536-nucleotide RNA transcript. RefSeq lists it as uncharacterized. Lineage: Eukaryota; Viridiplantae; Streptophyta; Magnoliopsida; Caryophyllales; Amaranthaceae. The record is from RefSeq and is a predicted model, not a curated record. The transcript is spliced from 6 exons.
CUUUUAGCAACCUUAAUCCAUAAAUUUGUCAUUGGGUUUUAUUGACCAAGACAAGAUUAAGACCCAACCCAAACAAAAGACUUGAUUAAGAUCCAAUAAUCCAGUACAUUUUCAAAUGAAAAAAUUGAGAAGCAAAGCUAAUCAACAAUGGAGGAAGAUGAUAGAAGACCCAACUCCAAAUCUUCUGCAAUUUCUCAAGCUCAAUUCGCCAAAUUUCGGGAAUUGCAUAAGAGGCGUUUGCAAAUGAAAACAAAGAUAAAGAACAAAAGGAAGUCGAAAGAUAAAAAAGAAAAAUUAAGUGAAGAAGUUGAUAAGCAAGGAUGUGUGAAUGACCUUAUCGAUAAACAAGUAAGUGCUAGAAGCAGCUCGAAAGACGAGGAUAGUAAUGAAGGAUCAUCGUCAACUUCUCAUAUCGAUUUACAUCCUGUAUUGAAAAAGAAAAAGUUGCAUUGGGGGCUAGACACGAAAGAACGAUGGGAAAGAAAGGCCAAUAUGUAAUACUUGCAGAAUACUUGAAUGCAAACAAGCAUACCCACCAUUCAACUUGUUGUAAUGCUUGAACGUCGAACAAUCAUUGUCGACCGCUGAAGUGAUGAAGCUCCGAUUAUGUUAAGCUGUAGUAUGGUGCACUUUUCGUCUGUGAAAAGCUAUGUUUCUGGAUGAAUCUGACUUGGGUUUGUUUUUUUUGCUGAAGUUUGCAGGCCUUUCACAGAUGAAGCUCUUGCUUGUUGGUAAAAGUUCAAAUGGACUAAUACUUCCUAUAUUCAAAGUUGCUUCUAAACAAGAAUAUGCAAGUGUUAUAAAUAAGCACUUCAUUUGUACAAUUUGUCUUAUAGCAAGGCAAACUAAAAUUUUUCUUUUACUAAUCAGCUAGUCUUUUGAGAGGCGUAUUUCAAACCCAACACAUUAAAGAUUAAUGUUUGCUUAUCGUAUUCUUAAUGCAUGCUUAUAUUAUCCUUAAUGCUUAUUUUCGUAUCCGUAUUGUCUACUUUCAAUACUUUAAAUGUGUACUUACAUUAUUGUUAAUGUCUACUUACAGAAUUUUACAAAGUAUAUAAUGAGUUGGCCCAAUUAGAGAUGGUUUUUCAUAGAGAUCGUCUCUUACAAGAAUUUGUGUUUACUAAUAGUCUUACACAGUCUACAACUCCUUUAUAAAUGCUUCAUGUUGAUAUAUGGGGCCUUUUAGACAAAUGACAAGACUAAAAUAUAAUAUGUUCAUAACCAUAGUUGAUGAUUUUAGUAGAUUUACUUGGUUGCACUUCAUUAAAUUUAAAAAUACUCAAAGUUCAAAUCAUUUGAUCUGACAAUGCAAAAGAGUUAGUUGAAGGAGAAGCACAACAUCCUACAAGUCAUUGAUCACUUUUUGAGAAAAUCAGAUUAUAAAUGUAAUUUCAGUCUUUCUACAUCUUGGUGCAACAUAGUUUCUUGCCCUUUAUGAAACAAACAUAUAUAGAGCCAACAGCAUACAAAGAAGCUUUUAUAUAAGGUAGUUACUAGCUCUCUUUACACGCUUUCUCCGAUUCCGAUUGGGGAGCA